This 375-nucleotide ribosomal RNA is filed under the name uncultured organism. Its description in RNAcentral is "partial 16S ribosomal RNA". It matches the Rfam family "Bacterial small subunit ribosomal RNA", at positions 527 to 896 of the family's 1533-position model. The record is from RNAcentral.
GUAGGUGGCAAGCGUUGUCCGGGAAUUAUUGGGGCGUAAAGCGCGCGCAGGCGGUUCUUUAAGUCUGAUGUGAAAGCCCACGGGCUCAACCGUGGAGGGUCAUUGGCAACUGGAGAACUUGAGUACAGAAGAGGAAAGCGGAAUUCCACGUGUAGCGGUGAAAUGCGUAGAGAUGUGGAGGAACACCAGUGGCGAAGGCGGCUUUCUGGUCUGUAACUGACGCUGAGGCGCGAAAGCGUGGGGAGCAACCAGGAUUAGAUACCCUGGUAGUCCACGCCGUAAACGAUGAGUGCUAAGUGUUAGGGGGUUUCCGCCCCUUAGUGCUGCAGCUAACGCAUUAAGCACUCCGCCUGGGGAGUACGGCCGCAAAGGCUG